GAUGAACGCUGGCGGCGUGCCUAAUACAUGCAAGUCGAGCGAACAGACGAGGAGCUUGCUCCUCUGACGUUAGCGGCGGACGGGUGAGUAACACGUGGAUAACCUACCUAUAAGACUGGGAUAACUUCGGGAAACCGGAGCUAAUACCGGAUAACAUGUUGAACCGCAUGGUUCAACAGUGAAAGACGGUCUUGCUGUCACUUAUAGAUGGAUCCGCGCCGCAUUAGCUAGUUGGUAAGGUAACGGCUUACCAAGGCAACGAUGCGUAGCCGACCUGAGAGGGUGAUCGGCCACACUGGAACUGAGACACGGUCCAGACUCCUGCGGGAGGCAGCAGUAGGGAAUCUGCCGCAAUGGGCGAAAGCAUGACGGAGCAACGCCACGUGAGUGAAGAAGGUCUUCGGAUCGUAAAACUCUGUUAUUAGGGAAGAACAAAUGUGUAAGUAACUAUGCACGUCUUGACGGUACCUAAUCAGAAAGCCACGGCUAACUACGUG
RNAcentral lists this ribosomal RNA (497 nucleotides) under uncultured bacterium. RNAcentral describes it as "partial 16S ribosomal RNA". It matches the Rfam family "Bacterial small subunit ribosomal RNA", at positions 28 to 507 of the family's 1533-position model. The record is from RNAcentral.